GAUGAACGCUGGCGGCGUGCCUAAUACUUGCAAUUCGAGCGAACAGACGUGGGACUUUCUCCUCUGACGUUAGCGGCGGACGGGUGAUUAACACUUGGAUAACCUCCCUUUUUUACUGGGAUAAAUCCGGGAAACCGUUACUCUUAUCGCAUAUUCUAUCUAACCGCAUGGUUCAAUAGUGUUAGGCGGUUUUGCUGUUACUUAUACAUGUAUCCGCGCCGCAUUAGCUAGUUGGUAAGGUAAAGGCUUACCAAGGCAACGAUGCGUAGCCGACCUGAGAGGGUGAUCGGCCACACUGGAACUGAGACACGGUCCAGACUCCUACGGGAGGCAGCAGUAGGGAAUAUUCGGCAAUGGGCGAAAGCCUGACGGAGCAACGCCGCGUGAGUGAUGAAGGUCUUCGGAUCGUAAAGCUCUGUUAUUAGGGAAGAAAAGAAGUAGAAGUAAAUAUGGACGUCUUGACGGUACCUAAAGAGAAAGCAACGGCUAACUACGUG
Molecule: ribosomal RNA, 497 nt
Filed under: uncultured bacterium
Lineage: Bacteria
Description: partial 16S ribosomal RNA
Rfam family: Bacterial small subunit ribosomal RNA
Source: RNAcentral